Molecule: RNA transcript, 2665 nt
Organism: Alexandromys fortis (reed vole)
Lineage: Eukaryota; Metazoa; Chordata; Mammalia; Rodentia; Cricetidae
Gene: Arglu1
Gene name: arginine and glutamate rich 1
Exons: 4
Source: RefSeq, a predicted model, not a curated record
GCCUCUACGGCGAAGCCGGCCGUGUGCGCGGCGGGUGCGCUCGGGGCGAGGCGGAGGGUCCGUGGGCGGGGGGCCGAGCUUCCCGGCGGCGAGGGGCGGCCUGCGGCGGGCAGCGGGUGACAGGCGGCGGGCGCCGCGCCGCGCGAGGAUGGGCCGGUCGCGGAGCCGGAGCUCGUCCCGCUCCAAGCACACCAAGAGCUCCAAGCACAACAAGAAGCGCAGCCGCUCGCGCUCGCGCUCGCGGGAUAAGGAGCGGGUGCGGAAGCGCUCCAAGUCCCGGGAGAGCAAACGGAACCGGCGGCGGGAGUCGCGCUCACGCUCGCGCUCCACCAACGCGGCGGCGUCCCGGCGCGAGCGGGAGCGCGCCUCGUCCCCGCCCGACCGCAUCGACAUCUUCGGGCGCACGGUGAGCAAGCGCAGCAGCCUGGACGAGAAGCAGAAGCGGGAGGAGGAGGAGAAGAAGGCGGAGUUCGAGCGGCAGCGAAAAAUUCGGCAGCAAGAAAUAGAAGAAAAACUCAUUGAGGAAGAAACGGCACGAAGAGUAGAAGAAUUGGUAGCGAAGAGGGUAGAAGAAGAGCUGGAGAAAAGGAAGGAUGAAAUUGAACGAGAAGUCCUCCGAAGGGUGGAAGAGGCCAAACGCAUCAUGGAAAAGCAGUUGCUCGAAGAACUCGAGCGACAGAGACAAGCUGAGCUUGCAGCACAAAAAGCUAGAGAGGUAACGCUCGGUCGUUUGGAAAGUAAAGACAGUCCAUGGCAAAACUUUCAGUGUCAGGUGUGCCUCCUGCUCAGUCCAGAACGAGAUGGAAUGCGACUUUCUAAUUCCUUUCUCAUCUAAAGUUACAUGGCUGCGAAAGAUAAUUUUUUAGCCAGAAGUGCUGACUGGUACUUAAAAGCUAUUUUCUUAAAACUUAUUCAAGGAUAUUUUUUUUGAUCUAACGGAACUGGCUUAUGUAUUUGAGAAGUGUUUGAAACUUUUGCCAUGGCUGCAGGACUACAUUCUUUUUUUGGGAGGGUAGGGGGAAGCCAGGGAGUGGAAAAGGGAAAAGGCUAAAAGUCCGCCUGCGGUUGCAUCUUCCUGUUUACCACUGUGACCUCGACUGAGAGCCUUUUGCCUUCAGUCAGAUUACAAAGAGCAGGGCCUCACUUUGAGUGACAGCUCCUGCUUUUGAUACACAGGUUUUCUCGCUCUUCUUUUUUUCCUUCUGUUAUCCCUCAUCCCUUCCCUAAAUCCUUUCAACACAGUGGACUAAUUCUAGCAUUUUGACUAUAAGGCCCUCCAUUUUCGUAAUGUGUUUCAAGGAAUCUUUUAUGGAAAAAUGUCCAGAUUGUUCAUCUUUUUUUUUUUUCCUUUUUUUUUUUUUUUUAAGUACCUACUAACAACUCCUUUUUUUCUCUAGAGAGUUAUGAAGGAACAGGUUGUCCUUGUCUGGAGUCAAGCUAAACACAUGAUUUGUUUUAUCAGCAGCUGGAGCAGAAGUUGAAAAUGUCUUUCUGUGAGACAGUAAUUUGCUACUGAAGCUUUAUGGCUUGUUUGCACUGAUUACUCCAGGAUCCUAAAGUGUGCGAAAGUCACGGAGACACUCAAGGCAAAUUGCUUCACAGCACUGAGUGUCUCUCCACAGUUUGCUAAUGAACAAAUGAAUUCGUGUGACACAGGAAAUUUGUAGUUACAUUGUCUUGAACAUAAAUUUAUAAAUAUUUGGCUUAAAUACAUGGCUUACUGUCAUCCUUCAUCCUGGCGUUACUGUGGACAAGUUGACAUUGUGUUAAGUCUGCUUUCUAGUAAGCUUUGCUUGUACAGUGCAUUUCCCUGGUCCUGUCUUAACUACAUAGACCUGUUUGUAGUUGUUCAUAUCAGUGCCUUUAAUAAUGGAGAUAUUUUUGGAGUAAUUGUGCUAUUUUGUAGCGAGUUAUUAAUCAUAGCAAGAUUUUUUUCUCUUCAUUUGCUUUUUGUUUCAUAUUAACAUUUUUUUUAACACGGACACAAUCCUCUGACAGUCUUCCCAAUACUAAAAUCAUUUGAGUAUGUAUGCUGUGAUCUGAACACUGCCCAAACCAUCAAGCAAUCUUCAUAUAGUUUGCAUUAUAAAACUUCAUUAAAUUCUCCAAGAAAAAAAUGACAGAAUUUUAUUUCCUGACUGUGCAUCCCCCGGAUUCCUGAAUUUCAGUGCAGACUGUAGAUGACAAUAUAAGCUGCCUUUAGUGGUUGUCAACAUCUGAUGUUAAGUCCAUGCCCCAUGGAAGCAGUCCUUAGUAUGGAUUACCAUUUGUAUUUUUCACUAACAGUAAAUGUAUUUUUCUUAUUAAUUGUUUGCCUUAGGAAUGAUGAAUUACAUUUUUUGUUCCUUCUUACCAUAAACAUCUGCAUUCCUCAGCUCAGCCUUCCUUGUAUGUUGUUUCUUUAUAAAUGGUUGAGCUGCUGAUGCAGGUAUUGCCAAGCUAACAGUACAAAUCAUUUUAAAGAGGAAGCUGGCGCGUAUGGCAGCCGAGGAGCACACUCUGCAGGACACUGGACAAGACAGAGGAAGAACGAGCAAAGCGUGAGGAGCUGGAGCGGAUAUUAGAAGAAAAUAACCGGAAAAUCGCAGAAGCACAGGCCAAACUGGCUGAAGAACAGUUGAGAAUUGUUGAAGAACAAAGAAAGAUUCAUGAGGAAAGGAUGAAA